This 95-nucleotide small RNA is filed under the name Paenibacillus beijingensis. RNAcentral's name for it is "Guanidine-I sequence". It matches the Rfam family "Guanidine-I riboswitch aptamer". From Rfam's summary of the family: This family represents a conserved RNA structure found upstream of the ykkC and yxkD genes in Bacillus subtilis and related genes in other bacteria. The function of this family is unclear although it has been suggested that it may function to switch on efflux pumps and detoxification systems in response to harmful environmental molecules. The record is from Rfam by way of RNAcentral. Lineage: Bacteria; Bacillati; Bacillota; Bacilli; Caryophanales; Paenibacillaceae.
UAAAUUGUUUUCUAGGGUUCCGCGGAUAAUCCGGACAGGUCCGAGAGAAAACGCACAGUGCGCUGUGUACACGGAGGGAUAAAAGCCCGGGAGUC